AUAGCGUAUAUUAAAGUUGUUGCAGUUAAAAAGCUCGUAGUUGAACUUCAGGCCUGGCUGGGCGGUCCGCCUCACGGCGUGUACUGUCUGGCUGGGUCUUACCUCUUGGUGAGCCGGCGUGCCCUUUAUUGGUGUGCGUCGGGGAACCAGGACUUUUACCUUGAGAAAAUUAGAGUGUUCAAAGCAGGCCUGUGCCCGAAUACAUUAGCAUGGAAUAAUAAAAUAGGACGUGCGGUUCUAUUUUGUUGGUUUCUAGAGUCGCCGUAAUGAUUAAUAGGGAUAGUUGGGGGCAUUAGUAUUCCGUUGCUAGAGGUGAAAUUCUUGGAUUUACGGAAGACUAACUUCUG
RNAcentral lists this ribosomal RNA (347 nucleotides) under Meruliopsis albostraminea. RNAcentral's name for it is "SSU rRNA". It matches the Rfam family "Eukaryotic small subunit ribosomal RNA", at positions 594 to 945 of the family's 1831-position model. The record is from RNAcentral. Lineage: Eukaryota; Fungi; Basidiomycota; Agaricomycetes; Polyporales; Irpicaceae.